RNAcentral lists this ribosomal RNA (187 nucleotides) under uncultured bacterium. RNAcentral's name for it is "partial 16S ribosomal RNA". It matches the Rfam family "Bacterial small subunit ribosomal RNA", at positions 1314 to 1500 of the family's 1533-position model. The record is from RNAcentral.
GCCUUCAUGAAGUCGGAAUUGCUAGUAAUGGCAGAUCAGAAUGCUGCGGUGAAUACGUUCCCGGGUCUUGUACACACCGCCCGUCACACCAUGGGAGUCGGAAAUGCCCGAAGUCAGUGGCCCAACCGCAAGGAGGGAGCUGCCGAAGGCAGGUCCGGUGACUGGGGUGAAGUCGUAACAAGGUAGC